Molecule: long non-coding RNA, 553 nt
Organism: Mirounga angustirostris (Northern elephant seal)
Lineage: Eukaryota; Metazoa; Chordata; Mammalia; Carnivora; Phocidae
Exons: 4
Source: RefSeq, a predicted model, not a curated record
GAGAAGGUGGGCGGGGCUGAGCCGCCCUGGCCCGUGACGCGAGCAGUAGUUGGGGAAACGCGCGCUGGUUCCCCCUGCGGUCGGGAGAUCCCGAGCCUGAGGCGGGCGUGGCAGACCUGACAGUCCUGACAUUGCCAAGCCAGAGCACCACGCGUCAGUUUGAGCGGCAGCUCCUACACCAAGGGCGCUCAGAAUCCCCCAGGAAACCCCCUGAGGGGUUAGCAACCCGCUAGUAGGUUUCGGUCCCAAGAUACUGAAGAUUUUACUUAUUAUUUGAGAGCGAGCAUGAGCAAGGGGAAGGGCAGAGGGAGAGAAGCGGGAAGAGGGAGAGACUCCCCCCUGCGCAUGAAACCCAACAUGAGGCUCGAUCCUAGGACCCUGAGAUCAUGACCUGAGCUGAAGGCCCAUGCUUAACCAACUGAGCCACCCAGAGGAGGCAAAGGUAUUAACUGUCUUCAGUCAUCCGACACCAGCCACCUCCACCAUGCCGCCUAAGUUUGACCCCAAUGAGAUCCAAGUCAUGUACCUGAGGUGCACUGUUGGCGAAGCUGGU